UUCUUUAAGCGCCAGGUACCUGCGGCAGGCAGGUUGACGAGGAGAAAGGUGAUCGAAAAUUCGGCGGGUGCCUUUCCGUAUGAUUCCCGUGCGAGACGCGUCGGCAAAUAUGCAGGUAACUGCAAAACAAAUACGGUGCGA
This 141-nucleotide non-coding RNA is filed under the name uncultured Roseburia sp. RNAcentral's name for it is "glmS glucosamine-6-phosphate activated ribozyme". It matches the Rfam family "glmS glucosamine-6-phosphate activated ribozyme aptamer". From Rfam's summary of the family: This entry contains a glucosamine-6-phosphate activated ribozyme that is found in the mRNA for GlmS. GlmS is an enzyme that uses fructose-6-phosphate and glutamine to generate glucosamine-6-phosphate. Lineage: Bacteria; Bacillati; Bacillota; Clostridia; Lachnospirales; Lachnospiraceae. The record is from RNAcentral.